UACGGAGGGUGCAAGCGUUGUCCGGAAUCACUGGGCGUAAAGGGCGCGUAGGCGGCUCAUGAAGGCUGUGGUGAAAGUCCGGGGCUCAACCUCGGAUCGGCCGUGGCGACUCGUGGGCUGGAGCACUGUAGAGGCGGGUGGAAUUCCGGGUGUAGCGGUGGAAUGCGUAGAGAUCCGGAAGAACACCAGUGGCGAAGGCGGCCCGCUGGGCAGUGGCUGACGCUGAGGCGCGACAGCGUGGGGAGCAUACAGG
Molecule: ribosomal RNA, 253 nt
Filed under: uncultured bacterium
Lineage: Bacteria
Description: partial 16S ribosomal RNA
Rfam family: Bacterial small subunit ribosomal RNA
Source: RNAcentral